CCCUUAGAUGUUCGGGGCCGCACGCGCGCUACACUGAAGGAAUCAGCACGUCUUUCUCCUUGUCCGAAAGGACUGGGUAACCCGCUGAACCUCCUUCGUGCUAGGGAUUGGGGCUUGUAAUUCUUCCCCAUGAACGAGGAAUUCCCAGUAAGCGCGAGUCAUAAGCUCGCGUUGAUUACGUCCCUGCCCUUUGUACACACCGCCCGUCGCUACUACCGAUUGGAUGGUCUAGUGAGAUCCUCGGAUUGGUCCCGGAGCGGCCUCUGGUCGUGCCGGAGUGCCGAAAAGAAUGUCGAACUUGAUCAUCUAGAGGAAGUAAAAGUCGUAACA
Molecule: ribosomal RNA, 330 nt
Filed under: uncultured eukaryote
Lineage: Eukaryota
Description: partial 18S ribosomal RNA
Rfam family: Eukaryotic small subunit ribosomal RNA
Source: RNAcentral